GGUUUGACGCACACGGCACCAAACUGUUUGAUUUAAUUUUGGAUGAGAUCGUUCUUGCAGCAAGAUGUUAAUAAGACAAAAUCUAGGUUAUUCUGGAGCAAACCCAGACAUAUUUGUUAUUUAUUGAUCUCCACCUCAUCCCCAUUGCCUUAGAUUGUAAGCAAAAGAAAUCAAGGUCAAGAUCUGGAAGCAAGAAGAAAAUGCUAACAUUACCUCAUGGUGCUGACGAGGUUUACAUUCUCCGAUGCAGGUUUUGUGGCCUAGUCUUUCGAGGACCCUUGUCUGUUCAGGAAGACUGGAUUAAGCACUUACAACGACAUAUUGUAAACGCUAAUCUUCCACGGACUGGAGCUGGCAUGGUGGAAGUCACGUCACUACUUAAAAAGCCUGCCUCCAUUACAGAAACUUCAUUUUCUCUACUAAUGGCCGAAGCAGCUUCAUAGAACCAGGAAACCUUUUAAAUAGCCAGUUUGAAUUGGAUGUAAAUUUGAAAUUCUUUUUUUUUAAGCCACAUUAAAUUAUCUGUUUAUAAAUACUAAAGCAGGAAAAUGGGGGGAAAGUGAAUUACAGUGACAUCAGAGCAAAUUGAAUACUUAAAACAGUAAGUAGUCUAUAUAUUUUAUAUAGGGUGGAAGAUGUGUUUUUAAGGUUUAUGAAGUUUUGUUGGUUAACUGUGUUCACUCAGUAAAAGAGCAGUACAUGUAAGCAGCCAUUAAUAAACUGUUGCACAUGGAUACUUAUAGACAGACUUAUUGGACAAUUAUGUUUUUUGCAGUGUUACCAGAAUCAAGGCUCUGUUUAUUCCCCACAAGACUUGCAUAGAAAAAUAAGAUAUUAUAUUUUGUUUGUAU
Molecule: long non-coding RNA, 851 nt
Filed under: Homo sapiens (human)
Lineage: Eukaryota; Metazoa; Chordata; Mammalia; Primates; Hominidae
Description: non-protein coding lnc-BARHL2-5:2
Source: RNAcentral